GCCGCGCCCGCCCUCACCAACAUGGCGACGCGAGAGAGACGGGGGCCCGUCAGGGCGGACCGACGGCAGCAACCGCUGUAGGAGCCGCAGCCGCCAUCUUGCGCGUGUCAGGUUGGGAGCGAGGCGGAGCGUGGGUGGAUCUCAGCCAGUUCUGAGGCCAGAGAGAAUCAUACUUUGCUAGGGAGCUGUGCUGCUGAACACUGAUGUUUCUUGGGCCAGAUACUGCCACCCUUACUCUUGCUAAGUAAUACCUGACUCUGCAUCACAAGCAAGUCCUCAAUCACAGCUCUCAAGUCAUCUGCUUUUCACCACAGCAAGUGAAGCCAGGAAACGAAACCAAACCAACCCCCCCGCCGGACACAAUCAUUUUGUAACUGAAAAUGUUUCUACACUGAAAACGUGUAUACCACAUAUUGGCUGCCUAAAGCAGGUGAACUGGAGCCAAUAGGUUGAACAUGGGGCUGGACACUUGGAAUCGCUGCAGUCUAAUCCUGUCUCUGACACUGACCCGCUGGAUGCCUUGGACAAACGUCCCGACGUCUCCCCAAACCCAUACCCUGCCAGCUGGGAAGGAGACUUUAUGGCUCCAUGGAACCUUUUGUGACAGAUCUGACGUGCUUGGAUAGAAGCUCAGCUGAAAGAACACGAACAACACGACAAACCCACUUUGCAACAUGCCUAUGGCCAAAUUCUGCCCUUGAGUGCACAUGCCUGGUUCCCAAUGAAGACAACAUGGGCAACAACAGAGUGAACUCCCCUCUGCCCUGGGAUGACUCGUGUGUGUGUGUGUUUGGCCUGUUAUUAUGUUUGCUCAGACUGUUGCUGACUUAGUCGUUUCAUGGUUAUUACAUGUUUUGA
Molecule: long non-coding RNA, 858 nt
Organism: Mauremys mutica (yellowpond turtle)
Lineage: Eukaryota; Metazoa; Chordata; Testudines; Geoemydidae
Exons: 5
Source: RefSeq, a predicted model, not a curated record